RNAcentral lists this ribosomal RNA (870 nucleotides) under uncultured Planctomycetota bacterium. RNAcentral's name for it is "bacterial SSU rRNA". It matches the Rfam family "Bacterial small subunit ribosomal RNA", at positions 62 to 936 of the family's 1533-position model. Lineage: Bacteria; Pseudomonadati; Planctomycetota. The record is from RNAcentral.
UCGAACGAAUCCCAUCUGGGCAACUGGGUGGGGGAAGUGGCGAAAGGGGCAGUAAAGCGUGGGUAACCUACCCCGGGGACUGGGAUAGCCGUCCUAACGGACGGGUAAUACCGGGCGAUCUGGCGAGGAGGCAUCUCCUUGCUAGGAAAUGAAUCUCGCCUCGGGAGGGGCUCACGUAGUAUUAGCUUGUUGGCGGGGUAACGGCCCACCAAGGCCAAGAUGCUUAGCGGGUGUGAGAGCACGACCCGCGCCACUGGCACUGAGACACUGGCCAGACUCCUACGGGAGGCUGCAGUCGAGGAUCUUCGGCAAUGGGCGCAAGCCUGACCGAGCGACGCCGCGUGUGCGAUGAAGGCCUUCGGGUUGUAAAGCACUGUCGAGGGGGAGAAAAGCCCGCAAGGGUCUGAUCUAUCCCUGGAGGAAGCACGGGCUAAGUUCGUGCCAGCAGCCGCGGUAAGACGAACCGUGCGAACGUUGUUCGGAUUCACUGGGCUUAAAGGGCGCGUAGGCGGACGGUCAAGUCGGGGGUGAAAUCUUUCAGCUUAACUGGAAACGUGCCUUCGAUACUGAUCGUCUCGAGGGAGGCAGGGGCAUGCGGAACUUCCGGUGGAGCGGUGAAAUGCGUAGAUAUCGGAAGGAACGCCGGUGGCGAAAGCGGCGUGCUGGACCUCUUCUGACGCUGAGGCGCGAAAGCCAGGGGAGCGAACGGGAUUAGAUACCCCGGUAGUCCUGGCCCUAAACGAUGGGUACUAGAUUGUGGACUUAACAUGGGUUCCCAAUCGAAGCUAAAGUGUUAAGUACCCCGCCUGGGGAGUAUGGUCGCAAGGCUGAAACUCAAAGGAAUUGACGGGGGCUCACACAAGCGGUGGA